AUUGAACGCUGGCGGCAGGCCUAACACAUGCAAGUCGAGCGAGCGGCGGACGGGUGAGUAAUGCCUUGGAAUCUGCCUGGUAGUGGGGGAUAACGUCCGGAAACGGGCGCUAAUACCGCAUACCAUCGGAUGUGCCCCGCUGGGAUUAGCUAGUGGGUGGGGUAAAGGCUCACCUAGGCGACGAUCCCUAGCUGGUCUGAGAGGAUGACCAGCCACACUGGAACUGAGACACGGUCCAGACUCCUACGGGAGGCAGCAGUGGGGAAUAUUGCACAAUGGGCGCAAGCCUGAUGCAGCCACGCCGCGUGUGUGAAGAAGGUCUUCGGGUUGUAAAGUACUGUCAGCAGGGAGGCGUUACCCGAAGAGGAAGCCCCGGCUAACUACGUGCCAGCAGCCGCGGUAAUUC
RNAcentral lists this ribosomal RNA (406 nucleotides) under uncultured bacterium. RNAcentral describes it as "partial 16S ribosomal RNA". It matches the Rfam family "Bacterial small subunit ribosomal RNA", at positions 30 to 526 of the family's 1533-position model. The record is from RNAcentral.